AGCUCUUCUUUGCCUUUUGGCUUAGAUCAAGUGUAGUAUCUGUUCUUUUCAGUUUAAUAUCUGGAAGUCCCCCAAUGGGGGACAAUCAAUAUUAUUCCUAUUUUUGAUCUUUUGGGCAGCGGUCCCUUCGGCUUGCCGUAUACCGCUUCCCACCGUGUCCCUGGUAUCACACUGCCUCCAGGCGACGCAAAAUGCU
Molecule: small nuclear RNA, 196 nt
Filed under: Colletotrichum orchidophilum
Lineage: Eukaryota; Fungi; Ascomycota; Sordariomycetes; Glomerellales; Glomerellaceae
Description: U2 spliceosomal RNA
Rfam family: U2 spliceosomal RNA
About the family: U2 is a small nuclear RNA (snRNA) component of the spliceosome (involved in pre-mRNA splicing). Complementary binding between U2 snRNA (in an area lying towards the 5' end but 3' to hairpin I) and the branchpoint sequence (BPS) of the intron results the bulging out of an unpaired adenosine, on the BPS, which initiates a nucleophilic attack at the intronic 5' splice site, thus starting the first of two transesterification reactions that mediate splicing.
Source: Rfam by way of RNAcentral